Molecule: unclassified non-coding RNA, 263 nt
Filed under: plant metagenome
Description: partial contains small subunit ribosomal RNA, internal transcribed spacer 1, and 5.8S ribosomal RNA
Source: RNAcentral
UUUCCGUAGGUGAACCUGCGGAAGGAUCAUUAUUGUAUAACCGAGGUGCGAGGGCUGUCGCUGACCCGAAAGGUCGUGCACGCCCGAGUGCCCUCACACACAUUCAUCUCACCCCUAUGUGCACCACCGCGUGGGUCCCCCUUUGGCUUGUUCGGAGGGGGGCUUACGUUUUCACACAAACUUUGUAUGCAGUGUAGAAUGUAUUUUUUGUUUUUGCGAUCACGCAAUCAAUACAACUUUCAACAACGGAUCUCUUGGCUCUC